This 309-nucleotide unclassified non-coding RNA is filed under the name plant metagenome. Its description in RNAcentral is "partial contains 5.8S ribosomal RNA, internal transcribed spacer 2, and large subunit ribosomal RNA". The stretch from base 1 to 105 matches the Rfam family "5.8S ribosomal RNA", at positions 50 to 154 of the family's 154-position model. The record is from RNAcentral.
UCCCUGCUAUCCGUAGUGUGAAUUGCAGAAUUCAGUGAAUCAUCGAAUCUUUGAACGCACAUUGCGCCCCUUGGUAUUCCAUGGGGCAUGCCUGUUCGAGCGUCAUUUGUACCCUCAAGCUCUGCUUGGUGUUGGGUGUUUGUCCCGUCUCCGCGCGUGGACUCGCCCCAAAGUGAUUGGCAGCCGGCGUACUGGUCCCGGAGCGCAGCACAUGUCGCGCAAACGAGUGCCUUGGUACGGCGGCGUCCAUAAGCCCCUCUCUCACGCUCUUGACCUCGGAUCAGGUAGGGAUACCCGCUGAACUUAAGC